GACGAACGCUGGCGGCGUGCUUAACACAUGCAAGUCGAACGGAAAGGCCCUGCUUUUGUGGGGUGCUCGAGUGGCGAACGGGUGAGUAACACGUGAGUAACCUGCCCUUGACUUUGGGAUAACUUCAGGAAACUGGGGCUAAUACCGGAUAGGAGCUCCUGCUGCAUGGUGGGGGUUGGAAAGUUUCGGCGGUUGGGGAUGGACUCGCGGCUUAUCAGCUUGUUGGUGGGGUAGUGGCUUACCAAGGCUUUGACGGGUAGCCGGCCUGAGAGGGUGACCGGCCACAUUGGGACUGAGAUACGGCCCAGACUCCUACGGGAGGCAGCAGUGGGGAAUAUUGCACAAUGGGCGGAAGCCUGAUGCAGCACGCCGCGUGCGGGAUGACGGCCUUCGGGUUGUAAACCGCUUUCGCCUGUGACGAAGCGUGAGUGACGGUAAUGGGUAAAGAAGCACCGGCUAACUACGUG
This 467-nucleotide ribosomal RNA is filed under the name uncultured bacterium. RNAcentral's name for it is "partial 16S ribosomal RNA". It matches the Rfam family "Bacterial small subunit ribosomal RNA", at positions 28 to 507 of the family's 1533-position model. The record is from RNAcentral.